RNAcentral lists this ribosomal RNA (360 nucleotides) under Triticum aestivum (bread wheat). Its description in RNAcentral is "partial small subunit ribosomal RNA". Lineage: Eukaryota; Viridiplantae; Streptophyta; Magnoliopsida; Poales; Poaceae. The record is from RNAcentral.
AUGUGGUCCCUGGAGGGGGCAAAGGAGGUCCUGGGAAAGUUCUGCAUCAUCGACCGGCUUGACAGCCACACCUUCGAGUGCUGGGACACACGCACGUUCGCCGCCUGGGUGUGGGUGUGGAACCUCACGGACAUCCCCACCCGCCACUUCCUCUCCAGCUUCGAGGAGGGCGUCGGACGGAUGAUGGAGAUGUUGGGCUACUCGCCGGCCAACUGUGCUGUCCCACCGCCUCCUGAGGGGGAGCGUAGCUCCCUGCUCUUCCACAUCGACCGCGUCGAGGACUGGACCCCUCGCGAGCCGCGGUCUCCUGCGUCCUACCAGAGCGGCCUGCCCUCCUCGGGUUCCUCCAGCAACGACUGA